UUCUUCACUACUAAAAUAAUUCAUACUCUGUUCUUGAGCCCUAAUCUCUGCUCUUCUGCUUCUCUUUCUCUCUUUUUUUUAUUUAUUUAUGUUCUUUCGUUUGUGGUGUUGUAGCGCAUCUUCUAUUUUCAACAUCUCCGACGCACGCUUGAGAAGUAAAACCCUAAAUAUAAUAGAUAUAUAUAGCGCCCGUACGUCUUCUUCUAUUUUCUCCGACGACGUUGCUUCAUUCUUCACUGGACUCCCACUCACACGGCUUGGAGGAACCAAAGACACUCUCGAUGGCAAAUCUGGUAGCUUUAUUUAACUGAGGGAGAAUUCAGAGGAGUCCUAGGAAUGAUCUACAGAAGUUUGCCAUUCUCUGUGGAUUAUGCCAUAAGGUAAUUUAUGAAUGUACAUCAGAGGAUCUUCCGGUGGUUGGAGGAAUUCUUGGAAAAAAUGAUAUGAUUAUGAUCUUAUUGCCUUCACUUACAAGGAUCUACAGAAGUUUGCCGUUCUCUGUGGAUUAUGCCAUAAGGUGGGUAUUGAGUUGAUUCCAAGGGACUUUUUUGACAUGAAUUCUCCAGCAUCGUUACGGAAAACAGAUGUGGUCUAUCUGGUCCCAGUUCACAAGCAAACAGCAUGUUCAUCUCUGCUGAUGGAACGCAACUUCUGAAGUCAUCUAAAACAGCUUUAUACAAAGGAAAGCUUGAAGAUGCUAUUGAACAAAGUGACGGUGUAAUGCGCGUGUAUUGUCCAUAACGAAACCAAAGGGUUGUUGCAAGCGCAAUGUUCCUCUUCGGCAAGAUCAUCUCUCCAAGAACCUCACACUUCUUAUUUAUAAACGAUCAUCUCUCCAAGAACCUCCUUACACUCAAACAGUCCCCACAAGUACUUACCCUGUAACAAGUGGUCCUUUUCAUACCAAUCAGUUCCCAUGUGUCGUAUUUUGUACCAAGAACGGUUUGGCCUGGAUGCCAUCCCGUUUGAGUUUCCCCCUUUGCACAUUAUUACCGGACCAAUAGUUGCAACUGUGUUAGAGCCAACUGAUAUUGACACUUCAGGAGUAGAAGAAUGAACGAAAAAGGAAGAAGAAGAAAAGGAAAAAGGCAAGCUAGAUGUGGCUAUCGCGAACGAAGUUAUGGAUUCUGUUAACCUUGUGAACAGUUCAGUGGCUCAACCCAUUAAGCUUGGUUAUAGCAGAGUUAUCAGAGAUAGCGAGGCUUCAAGGCCUGUAGCCUAAAACUCUUUCCAGAGAUUGAGCCAAUUCGAUGAAAUGAAAAACUCACAGAUCUUUGCUGUUUCUUAAUUAGGGACAGUAUAAAGGUAGAUCUGUUAUCAGUCAGGGGAAGCUGAGGCUUGUGAUAGCCUUGAAAUGGAGUCGGAAUAUGAUUUGAAUUUCUAUACGGAAAGGUUGUGCAGAGGGAAAACCACCUAAGCAUAACCUUUCAAUCUUCAUGUCUCACCUGAAUUUUAUGA
Molecule: non-coding RNA, 1458 nt
Organism: Camelina sativa (false flax)
Lineage: Eukaryota; Viridiplantae; Streptophyta; Magnoliopsida; Brassicales; Brassicaceae
Source: RefSeq, a predicted model, not a curated record